UGGUCCCGUGGAAAGACACAAGCAACAC
RNAcentral lists this non-coding RNA (28 nucleotides) under Mus musculus (house mouse). Lineage: Eukaryota; Metazoa; Chordata; Mammalia; Rodentia; Muridae. The record is from RNAcentral.